Molecule: ribosomal RNA, 253 nt
Filed under: uncultured bacterium
Lineage: Bacteria
Description: partial 16S ribosomal RNA
Rfam family: Bacterial small subunit ribosomal RNA
Source: RNAcentral
UACAGAGGUGGCAAGCGUUGUUCGGAAUUACUGGGCGUAAAGGGCUCGUAGGCGGCCAACUAAGUCAGACGUGAAAUCCCUCGGCUUAACCCGGGAACUGCGUCCGAUACUGGCAGGCUUGAAUUCGGGAGAGGGAUGUGGAAUUCCAGGUGUAGCGGUGAAAUGCGUAGAUAUCUGGAGGAACACCGGUGGCGAAGGCGGCAUCCUGGACCGAUAUUGACGCUGAUGCGCGAAAGCCAGGGGAGCAAACGGG